Molecule: long non-coding RNA, 274 nt
Organism: Setaria italica (foxtail millet)
Lineage: Eukaryota; Viridiplantae; Streptophyta; Magnoliopsida; Poales; Poaceae
Exons: 3
Source: RefSeq, a predicted model, not a curated record
ACUCACCGAGGUCGUCUCAUAGCGGGAGGGCAGGUCCUUCCGCUCCUUCGUUCUAGAGCCCAUGAUGGGUUUUUGGCGCUGCAGUACGACGACCGCUACACUCCUUUACUACAGAUGGCUGGCCUCGAUGUCAUCUCGUAUCAGGUUCGUCGUGGGAUGCCCAGGUUCAAUUCAGCGGCUAUAACUGCGUUGGUUGACAGGUGGCGACCCGAGACUCACAGCUUUCACCUCCCGUUCGGAGAGAUGACAGUGACCCUACAGGACUGUCAGAAGA